CCACAACGGACUCCGCAAACACAGACCAAGGUCCCGCAAUGAAUGACGACGACAUGUUCAAAGCCGCCAGGAAAAUGUCCUUGGACACAGGCGGGACGGGCCCGAGCACCCAG
This is a long non-coding RNA of Nanorana parkeri, 113 nucleotides long. RefSeq lists it as uncharacterized. NCBI's taxonomy places the organism in Eukaryota, Metazoa, Chordata, Amphibia, Anura, Dicroglossidae. The transcript has 2 exons. The record is from RefSeq and is a predicted model, not a curated record.